GUUCUCUUGAGCUCUAGUGGAGGGAGAAAGGUUAAGCACAAUCUGGCAUCCUUUUGCAAGGAUUGGUGUAUAUAUGAUAGAACGCUUGGAGUCUAACAAUACCUAUGGGAGUGCAGCAACAGUUAUAAAUUCAGACCCAGAUUAUGGCGGCUGUAUGGUGACUCCGGAGAUGUUUGUACUUGGUGAAAAUGAAAUGAGCUGGUUCAAGUCCCGCGAGUACUGCAUGAAAAAUGCUUAUCUGUUUGCCAGGCUCAACAAUGAAAGCAGCCAGACUAAGAUGGCCUUAAACAUGACAUUUGAAGAACCCACGGAGGGCUGGAUCAGUCUGCGCCGCAGCUUGUACUCAACAGACUGGUACUGGAAAAACGAAGACACUUUCUCACCUUACGUGGACUUCACUUACUGGGAGAAAGGACAGCCUGAAAAACCGGAGAAAGGCUUGUGCGCCUUGGUUUCCCUGGAUCCCAACAAGAACUUCAAGUGGAAGAGUGGACGCUGCUGUUCUAAAAAGAAGCCUGUUUGCUAUAAAAGACCAAAAUACUUCACUUUAUGAGAUACUUUGUAAACAACAGAUGUCUUGAAGACUUGUGACCUCCAAAAAUUUGCUUCCAGAACUAUCUUUAGGGAUCAGUAUAGAUUGGUUUGAUUUUCAUGCUCAACAUUUAUCUGUCUAUACAUAGUGAGGCCCCUAUAUUAGACUAGAUUUAGAAAAUGUUAUCUGGUGGGCAAUGACAUAGAUCUAGCAAUAAUAUUAACAGUGAAAAGAAAACUUGUAUUGCAGACUUUUUAGGUUAAAUAUAACUAUUAAAAAUUAGCGUGUAAGUUGAGAUGCAUUUUGAUCUGUAUCCAGACUAAGAUUUAAACAGUGAUUAUUA
This 875-nucleotide long non-coding RNA is filed under the name Sinocyclocheilus anshuiensis. Its description in RNAcentral is "lncRNA (ENSSANG00000011050.1)". The record is from RNAcentral. Lineage: Eukaryota; Metazoa; Chordata; Actinopteri; Cypriniformes; Cyprinidae.